GGUUAAGCGACUAAGCGUACACGGUGGAUGCCCUGGCAGUCAGAGGCGAUGAAGGGCGUGCUAAUCUGCGAUAAGCGCCGGUAAGGUGAUAUGAACCGUUAUAACCGGCGAUACCCGAAUGGGGAAACCCAGUGUGAUUCGUCACACUAUCAUUAACUGAAUCCAUAGGUUAAUGAGGCGAACCGGGGGAACUGAAACAUCUAAGUACCCCGAGGAAAAGAAAUCAACCGAGAUUCCCCCAGUAGCGGCGAGCGAACGGGGAGGAGCCCAGAGCCUGAAUCAGCAUGUGUGUUAGUGGAAGCGUCUGGAAAGGCGCGCGAUACAGGGUGACAGCCCCGUACACAAAAGCGCAUGUGUUGUGAGCUCGAUGAGUAGGGCGGGACACGUGGUAUCCUGUCUGAAUAUGGGGGGACCAUCCUCCAAGGCUAAAUACUCCUGACUGACCGAUAGUGAACCAGUACCGUGAGGGAAAGGCGAAAAGAACCCCGGCGAGGGGAGUGAAAAAGAACCUGAAACCGUGUACGUACAAGCAGUGGGAGCACAGGUUUACCUGUGUGACUGCGUACCUUUUGUAUAAUGGGUCAGCGACUUAUAUUCUGUAGCAAGGUUAACCGAAUAGGGGAGCCGGAGGGAAACCGAGUCUUAACCGGGCGUUAAGUUGCAGGGUAUAGACCCGAAACCCGGUGAUCUAGCCAUGGGCAGGUUGAAGGUUGGGUAACACUAACUGGAGGACCGAACCGACUAAUGUUGAAAAAUUAGCGGAUGACCUGUGGCUGGGGGUGAAAGGCCAAUCAAACCGGGAGAUAGCUGGUUCUCCCCGAAAGCUAUUUAGGUAGCGCCUCGUGAAUUCAUCUCCGGGGGUAGAGCACUGUUUCGGCUAGGGGGCCAUCCCGGCUUACCAACCCGAUGCAAACUGCGAAUACCGGAGAAUGUUAUCACGGGAGACACACGGCGGGUGCUAACGUCCGUCGUGAAGAGGGAAACAACCCAGACCGCCAGCUAAGGUCCCAAAGUCAUGGUUAAGUGGGAAACGAUGUGGGAAGGCCCAGACAGCCAGGAUGUUGGCUUAGAAGCAGCCAUCAUUUAAAGAAAGCGUAAUAGCUCACUGGUCGAGUCGGCCUGCGCGGAAGAUGUAACGGGGCUAAACCAUGCACCGAAGCUGCGGCAGCGACGCUUAUGCGUUGUUGGGUAGGGGAGCGUUCUGUAAGCCUGUGAAGGUGGCCUGUGAGGGUUGCUGGAGGUAUCAGAAGUGCGAAUGCUGACAUAAGUAACGAUAAAGCGGGUGAAAAGCCCGCUCGCCGGAAGACCAAGGGUUCCUGUCCAACGUUAAUCGGGGCAGGGUGAGUCGACCCCUAAGGCGAGGCCGAAAGGCGUAGUCGAUGGGAAACGGGUUAAUAUUCCCGUACUUGGUGUUACUGCGAAGGGGGGACGGAGAAGGCUAUGUUGGCCGGGCGACGGUUGUCCCGGUUUAAGCGUGUAGGUGUGUGUUCCAGGUAAAUCCGGUUCACUUUAACACUGAGGCGUGAUGACGAGGCACUACGGUGCUGAAGCAACAAAUGCCCUGCUUCCAGGAAAAGCCUCUAAGCAUCAGGUAACAUCAAAUCGUACCCCAAACCGACACAGGUGGUCAGGUAGAGAAUACCAAGGCGCUUGAGAGAACUCGGGUGAAGGAACUAGGCAAAAUGGUGCCGUAACUUCGGGAGAAGGCACGCUGACACGUAGGUGAAGUGAUUUACUCAUGGAGCUGAAGUCAGUCGAAGAUACCAGCUGGCUGCAACUGUUUAUUAAAAACACAGCACUGUGCAAACACGAAAGUGGACGUAUACGGUGUGACGCCUGCCCGGUGCCGGAAGGUUAAUUGAUGGGGUCAGCGCAAGCGAAGCUCCUGAUCGAAGCCCCGGUAAACGGCGGCCGUAACUAUAACGGUCCUAAGGUAGCGAAAUUCCUUGUCGGGUAAGUUCCGACCUGCACGAAUGGCGUAAUGAUGGCCAGGCUGUCUCCACCCGAGACUCAGUGAAAUUGAACUCGCUGUGAAGAUGCAGUGUACCCGCGGCAAGACGGAAAGACCCCGUGAACCUUUACUAUAGCUUGACACUGAACAUUGAGCCUUGAUGUGUAGGAUAGGUGGGAGGCUUUGAAGCGUGGACGCCAGUCUGCGUGGAGCCGACCUUGAAAUACCACCCUUUAAUGUUUGAUGUUCUAACGUGGACCCGUAAUCCGGGUUGCGGACAGUGUCUGGUGGGUAGUUUGACUGGGGCGGUCUCCUCCUAAAGAGUAACGGAGGAGCACGAAGGUUGGCUAAUCCUGGUCGGACAUCAGGAGGUUAGUGCAAUGGCAUAAGCCAGCUUGACUGCGAGCGUGACGGCGCGAGCAGGUGCGAAAGCAGGUCAUAGUGAUCCGGUGGUUCUGAAUGGAAGGGCCAUCGCUCAACGGAUAAAAGGUACUCCGGGGAUAACAGGCUGAUACCGCCCAAGAGUUCAUAUCGACGGCGGUGUUUGGCACCUCGAUGUCGGCUCAUCACAUCCUGGGGCUGAAGUAGGUCCCAAGGGUAUGGCUGUUCGCCAUUUAAAGUGGUACGCGAGCUGGGUUUAGAACGUCGUGAGACAGUUCGGUCCCUAUCUGCCGUGGGCGCUGGAGAACUGAGGGGGGCUGCUCCUAGUACGAGAGGACCGGAGUGGACGCAUCACUGGUGUUCGGGUUGUCAUGCCAAUGGCACUGCCCGGUAGCUAAAUGCGGAAGAGAUAAGUGCUGAAAGCAUCUAAGCACGAAACUUGCCCCGA
Molecule: ribosomal RNA, 2780 nt
Filed under: Salmonella enterica subsp. enterica serovar Paratyphi B
Lineage: Bacteria; Pseudomonadati; Pseudomonadota; Gammaproteobacteria; Enterobacterales; Enterobacteriaceae
Description: partial 23S ribosomal RNA
Rfam family: Bacterial large subunit ribosomal RNA
Source: RNAcentral